This 76-nucleotide transfer RNA is filed under the name Falsigemmobacter intermedius. RNAcentral's name for it is "tRNA-Arg". It matches the Rfam family "tRNA". From Rfam's summary of the family: Transfer RNA (tRNA) molecules are approximately 80 nucleotides in length. Their secondary structure includes four short double-helical elements and three loops (D, anti-codon, and T loops). Lineage: Bacteria; Pseudomonadati; Pseudomonadota; Alphaproteobacteria; Rhodobacterales; Paracoccaceae. The record is from RNAcentral.
GCUCUCGUAGCAUAAUGGAUAAUGCAGCGGUCUUCUAAACCGACGAGUGCAGGUUCGAGUCCUGCCGAGAGCGCCA